ACGGUGACGUUGAGCAAAUCCCAGAAAUAACGUCCCAGUUCGGAUUGUAGUCUGCAACCCGACUACAUGAAGCUGGAAUCGCUAGUAAUCGCGAAUCAGAAUGUCGCGGUGAAUACGUUCCCGGGUCUUGUACACACCGCCCGUCACACCAUGGGAGUCGGAAAUGCCCGAAGUCAGUGACCCAACCGUAAGGAGGGAGCUGCCGAAGGUGGAGCCGGUAACUGGGGUGAAGUCGUAACAAGGUAGC
RNAcentral lists this ribosomal RNA (247 nucleotides) under uncultured bacterium. RNAcentral describes it as "partial 16S ribosomal RNA". It matches the Rfam family "Bacterial small subunit ribosomal RNA", at positions 1254 to 1500 of the family's 1533-position model. The record is from RNAcentral.